RNAcentral lists this transfer RNA (73 nucleotides) under Gefionella okellyi. Its description in RNAcentral is "tRNA-Ala". It matches the Rfam family "tRNA". From Rfam's summary of the family: Transfer RNA (tRNA) molecules are approximately 80 nucleotides in length. Their secondary structure includes four short double-helical elements and three loops (D, anti-codon, and T loops). The record is from RNAcentral. Lineage: Eukaryota; Malawimonada; Malawimonadea; Malawimonadida; Malawimonadidae.
GGGGAUAUAAUUUAAUUGGUUAAAAUAUUUAUUUUGCAUGUAAAGGUUAGGGGUUCAAGUCCCCUUGUUUCCA